Molecule: ribosomal RNA, 786 nt
Filed under: uncultured bacterium
Lineage: Bacteria
Description: bacterial SSU rRNA
Rfam family: Bacterial small subunit ribosomal RNA
Source: RNAcentral
GUUACUGGACANUUACUGACGCUGAGGCUCGAAGGCCAGGGGAGCAAAAGGGAUUAGAUACCCCUGUAGUCCUGGCAGUAAACGGUGCACGCUUGGUUUGAGGGGAAUCGACCCCCUUCGAGCCGGAGCUAACGCGUUAAGCGUGCCGCCUGGGAAGUACGGUCGCAAGACUAAAACUCAAAGAAAUUGACGGGGACCCGCACAAGCGGUGGAGUAUGUGGCUUAAUUCGAUGCAACGCGAAGAACCUUACCUAGGCUUGACAUGCAUUUCUAAAUACGUGAAAGCGUAUGACUCUUCGGAGGACUUGCACAGGUGCUGCAUGGCCGUCGUCAGCUCGUGUCGUGAGAUGUUGGGUUAAGUCCCGCAACGAGCGCAACCCCUGUGAUUAGUUACCAGCGCGUGAUGGCGGGGACUCUAAUCAGACUGCCCAGAUCAACUGGGAGGAAGGUGGGGACGACGUCAGGUCAGUAUGGCCCUUACGCCUAGGGCUGCACACGUACUACAAUGCCCAGCACAAUGAGAACCGAGACCGCGAGGUGGAGGAAAUCUACAAAACUGGGCUCAGUUCGGAUUGGAGGCUGCAACUCGCCUCCAUGAAGCUGGAAUCGCUAGUAAUGGCACAUCAGCUACGGUGCCGUGAAUACGUUCCCGGGUCUUGUACACACCGCCCGUCACAUCAUGGAAGUCGGUCGCACCCGAAGUACACGCGCCAACCGCAAGGAGGCAGUGUCCUAAGGUGUAGCUGGUAACUGGGAUGAAGUCGUAACAAGGUAACCAAGGGCGAA